AGAGGUAGUAGGUUGCAUAGUUUUAGGGCAGAGAUUUUGCUCACAAGGAGUUAACUAUACAACCUGCUGCCUUUC
Molecule: microRNA precursor, 75 nt
Filed under: Chrysemys picta bellii (western painted turtle)
Lineage: Eukaryota; Metazoa; Chordata; Testudines; Emydidae
Description: Cpi-Let-7-P2c1_pre stem-loop
Rfam family: let-7 microRNA precursor family
About the family: This family represents the microRNAs (miRNA) let-7 and mir-98. let-7 was identified from a study of developmental timing in C. elegans, and was later shown to be part of a much larger class of non-coding RNAs termed miRNAs. The extents of the hairpin precursors are not generally known and are estimated based on hairpin prediction.
Source: RNAcentral